This is a long non-coding RNA of Chinchilla lanigera (long-tailed chinchilla), 531 nucleotides long. RefSeq lists it as uncharacterized. The transcript is spliced from 2 exons. NCBI's taxonomy places the organism in Eukaryota, Metazoa, Chordata, Mammalia, Rodentia, Chinchillidae. The record is from RefSeq and is a predicted model, not a curated record.
UUUUUUGGUACCAGGAAUCAAACUCGGGACCUUGCGCUUGCCAGGCAGGCACUUCUACCACUGAGCUACCUCCCCCACCCUCUAUUCAUUUUUAGAGGCCACCCUCAUUCAUAGCUUAUGAGUUUCCCCUCUCUUCACAAACACUAGUAGCAAGUUCAGUGUAUCUCACAUCACAUCACUCUGACCUCCACUUCUGCCUCCUUUUUCUGCUUUUCUGGACCCCUGUGAUUACACCAGGCCCACCUCAACAAUCCAGAAUGAACUUCCUGGUUUAAGGUGUAGGUGGAGGUCUUCUAGUUCUGGCCUAAAUGAAAUAUCCCCAUUUCUAUGUAGUAUUUCCUCUUACAACUGAAAAACCCUGGACAUAACAGCAGACAAAUGUCAGAAGAUUCUGGAAGGUGGGAAGCAGAUGGAAGACUGCCUAAAGAGUUCAUAAAAGUGAAUUAAGAACUGAGAUGUAGUAGUCACCUGAACUCUGGAUAAUAUUUUCUUCAUUUCCUGUUGAAUACAGACCUUUUGAUAAGUAGCAAA